CCUACAUACAUUUUCUGUUUCCCUAGGCUUUCCCUUAACUAAUGGUAUUAUGAUGGUCUCUUUCUUGCCUUUGGGGAUCUCUCUUGAACUACAUGAACUUGUUAAGUGUCGGUGAAGACUUCUCUCAAUUUCUGUUCCUGCCUUUUUUGCUCUCUCAGAAAUCUGAUGUCUAGCCUGUGAGCUGAGCCCUAAGGAAGCCCAAAGUGGUAGUACAUACUUCUGCAAUAGAAAGGGACAUAAAGCACUCCCUUACUCCCUUGCAUGGGCCACUCAGGUAGGGCUCAGCUGAAGGAGCCAUUGUUACCACUCAGCAGAUGGAAGAAAUAAAAUCAUAUCACAAAAAACUGGCACAAAUGACCGGAGGAUCAAGGACCCGCUGACCAAGCACAGACCAAGGAAAGGCACUGCCCCACAGAAAUGUCUUCAAGGGCACAGUUCAGAGCUGAUGUCAAGCUUCCUCAGAAUCCAACUGUGGCCUUAGCAGGGAGGAAGUAGUGCACCCUGGAGUGGGCUACUGAGUAAUACUGUUUUACCUAAACCUUGGCCAUACAUUGGUUAUUGGUGCAUCUUCAAGGAUGGCUUUCCUUGGGCAGUCCUGUACUGGAGUUGU
RNAcentral lists this long non-coding RNA (610 nucleotides) under Coturnix japonica (Japanese quail). Its description in RNAcentral is "lncRNA (ENSCJPG00005015368.1)". Lineage: Eukaryota; Metazoa; Chordata; Aves; Galliformes; Phasianidae. The record is from RNAcentral.